This 1160-nucleotide ribosomal RNA is filed under the name uncultured Cryomorphaceae bacterium. Its description in RNAcentral is "bacterial SSU rRNA". It matches the Rfam family "Bacterial small subunit ribosomal RNA", at positions 363 to 1533 of the family's 1533-position model. Lineage: Bacteria; Pseudomonadati; Bacteroidota; Flavobacteriia; Flavobacteriales; Cryomorphaceae. The record is from RNAcentral.
AUUGGGCAAUGGGCGAAAGCCUGACCCAGCUAUGCCGCGUGCAGGAUGACAGCUCUAGUAGUUGUAAACUGCUUUUAUACGGGAAGAAAAGCACCUACGUGUAGGUGUCUGACGGUACCGUAAGAAUAAGGACCGGCUAACUCCGUGCCAGCAGCCGCGGUAAUACGGAGGGUCCAAGCGUUAUCCGGAUUCAUUGGGUUUAAAGGGUGUGUAGGCGGAAAGGUCAGUCAGUGGUGAAAUCCUACAGCUUAACUGUAGAACUGCCAUUGAUACUUCCUUUCUUGAGUCUAGUUGAAGUGAGCGGAAUGUGUCAUGUAGCGGUGAAAUGCAUAGAUAUGACACAGAACACCGAUUGCGAAGGCAGCUCGCUAAGCUAGUACUGACGCUGAGGCACGAAAGCGUGGGUAGCGAACAGGAUUAGAUACCCUGGUAGUCCACGCCGUAAACGAUGAUUACUCGAUGUUGGCGAUAUAAUGUCAGCGUCCAAGCGAAAGUGUUAAGUAAUCCACCUGGGGAGUACGGUCGCAAGAUUGAAACUCAAAGGAAUUGACGGGGGCCCGCACAAGCGGAGGAACAUGUGGUUUAAUUCGAUGAUACGCGAGGAACCUUACCUGGGCUUAAAUGUAAGAUGACAGGCUGGGAAACCAGCUCUCCUUCGGGCAACUUACAAGGUGCUGCAUGGCUGUCGUCAGCCCGUGCCGUGAGGUGUCGGGUUAAGUCCCAUAACGAGCGCAACCCCUAUCCUUAGUUGCCAGCGGAUAAUGCCGGGGACUCUAAGGAAACUGCCCGCGCAAGCGGUGAGGAAGGUGGGGAUGACGUCAAGUCAGCACGGCCCUUACGUCCAGGGCCACACACGUGUUACAAUGGCCGGUACAGAGGGCAGCUACCUGGUGACAGGAUGCGAAUCUCUAAAGCCGGUCUCAGUUCGGAUCGAAGUCUGCAACUCGACUUCGUGAAGUUGGAUUCGCUAGUAAUCGCGCAUCAGCCUCGGCGCGGUGAAUACGUUCCCGGGCCUUGUACACACCGCCCGUCAAGCCAUGGAAGCCGGGGGUACCUGAAGUCAGUCACCGUAAGGAACUGCCUAGGGUAAAACUGGUAACUGGGGCUAAGUCGUAACAAGGUAGCCGUACCGGAAGGUGCGGCUGGAAUACCUCCUUUCU